GAUGGGAAAAACGAGGGCGUAUGAAUGCGCUCUUUGCACUAUUCAUCUGUCGCAGACGCACAUCUUAUUGAAAACUCUUAUCAACAGUUCAAAUUCCACAUUGCAUGUUCCUGAACUCACAGUUGACACUUUCAGAUGUUUUCAGAUGCAAAUGCGAAUUCGUCCGAACACGGCAAAGAAUCAUGAGCUUCUCAAACUUGACUUUGCUCCGUGAGCCAAGUAUGGAGCAAAGGUAAAAAGAUGAUUUGAGGGGAAGGACCGAAGCAACUCGGAGAAUAACUUGUUCCAAUGUCCCUUCAUCAUGGGCAGACAAACAAUGGACAUUGAAAACCAGCUGGUGGAUUCUUGCAUAUUUCUACAGUGAACUAGCCAAAAUCAAUUUACAAGAGGCUCCUUCAGAUAACCUGGACACAAAAAACUUGGUAAUCUUAUACAGAAGAUAUGAGAACAGACUUAGUUUAUACAGAGGAAUGAAAUAUGACUUUGGUAAUCUGAUUCUGACAGGUGUAAACUGGCCAAUACAAAAUUUAGUCAAAUAUGGCAUUUCUAUUUAUUAAAUUUGAAUGGGUUAACACAGACACAACAGAAGGUAGCUGAUGGUACUGUAAAAUUAACAUUAAACUGUAUAUUCGUUUAUACAACUAAUAACACUGCUUUCCUUUAGUGUGGACCCAGAUUUAAUAACAUUCAAAACAAACCACACAAUAUAAUAUACACUAGCAGUCUUGUUGAUCUGCAAGUCCCCGUAUUUACAUUAUUACAACUGAAUACACUUGAACUAGUCUGUUUUGGAACUGGAAUAAAUUAAUAUAUAUAUAUUAUUCUAAAUUCAUUGACUUCCAUUCUCCUCAUUAUUGUCAAGCUCACGUAGAAACGACGAACACGAACAUGAUAUUUUUGUAAAAACUGUUACAGAGAGGCUUUAUUAUUAAUACAAACCAUGUGGAACAAACAAGGAACUUCUCCUUGCAAUCAAAUAAUGUACAGAAUUUGUUUGCUCAUUAAUGUAAUAAAAAUAAUGGACAGAUACUUGCGGAAUGGAACCGUCAGGAUUACAGCCUUCUUGGAUGUGAUGCCAUGUAUUUUGGUAGAAAAGUAGGAAUGUGAGAUCUGAAAUUCCCACAGCAAUUACUAAAGAUUACUGUUUUCUGGGGUAUGACAUCAUAUAAUCUGGUACAUAUUUACCACUGCUUCGGUGGAAUAUGCUACUUCCAUCUUCAGGGGAGAAAUCAGAAUAGUCUGUGACAGCACAUUCCUCUGAAAUAUCAGUAACCAUCUUUCACGUCUUCCAGACUACAUGGUCACAUCCCAAAAGAUAAUAAUCUUCAAGCACCAAUGUUUCAGAAGAGAGCAGAUGUUCCUCCAAAAGGUCAAUUCCUAUCUGCCAGCUACACAAAGACAUGCUGCAGAUAACUGCAGCCUUAAUGCCAUCAGAAUCGUCAAAUCUCACAAUUUUCUGAUUAUGGCUCUUCAUUAUUAUCAUACUGUAUCAACUGCAGAGGUUACUAUAUAUUGAACAAGGUGGUCACUGAAAGAGCAGAUAUCUGAGCAUUUGUCUGGAGAGGCUAAUGGAAACAACAGAAAUCACACCGGGGUAAGAUUAAAAAAUCAUGUACCUCCUCAGUGAAAGUCUGUCAUGUUACUGCUUGGUAAGAAAUUAAAAACAAUUACCUUAUAAGAUUUGUCUGUUAUUAAAAAAAGUUAAGUGACCCUUAGUAAGAAAUGAAGCAGGUAACCACACUAUAUGAAUUAGCAGUCCAUUCAAGUAAGCAACAUAAACACUGAACAAUAUUAUCCAAUGCAAUGAAAUCUGCACAAACCCAAAAUUAUAUCCUGUAUUUCUAAAAUGCAAUCUAAAAUGCAGUCCAUUCAAGUAAGCAACAUAAACACUGAACAAUAUUAUCCAAUGCAAUGAAAUCUGCACAAACCCAAAAUUAUAUCCUGUAUUUCUAAAAUGCAAUCACAUAGUAAGAUGAAGAUUAUGGCCUUCAGGGACGUGAUUCUGUGUAGAUAUUCACUAAUAUUUUAAAGGAAUCUAGCAGCUCCAUCUUCAGGACAGAAAAGCCAUGCAUUGGGAAAAAAUUGUCAGUGAUACAGAGAGGGGAGGAAAAUGUUUGGGGCCAGCCCCUGUAAAAGAUGGAGACAGCAAGUUGCUGCAAAAUAUUGGUGCUUAUCCAUCAAACUACAGCGUCACAUCAUCCCAGAAGACUCUAAUCUUACAACAUUAAUGUAAUGGGCAAGAGUAUAGAUAUUGUUGCUCAUUUAAUGCGUAGAAAUUGUUGCAUGUCAUGCCUCCAGAGCUUCUUUUCUGUGGGUCUAAGCCUCAGCUCUCCUCAGGAGACAGGCUUGGUCUGGUGAUAGAGUGGGUCGAUAAGACAUUCAAAACAUAGGGCCAUUACACAGAGGAAGCUCUGGUUUGAACUGAAGAUCAAAACAACUAGUGCCUCUGCAUGUGUUGAAUGCUUAAGAAUGUGAAUGUGUGUAUGCCAACACACAAACAUAUACAAAAUGAAUUCAAAUUAAUUUAACAUUUAAGAGUUCUACCUUUCUGAAUAUAAUGCUGUAUAGUCCGUUGAGAGUCAACCAACAUUUCAGAGAAACAUGCCACCUACAUCCUCAGGGACAAAGAGUAAGCAAAGCAAGAAACAAGUAAAGCUCGUUUCUUGCUUGGCUGCCUCUUCAAUUGUGAGGAUGGAGGUCACAUAUUUCUCCAAAACGUUGGUUGACAUUUAAUAGACUACAUGGUGAAAUAUCCCAGGAGACAGAAUUAUUGGAAAAUAAAUUUGGCUGAAACUAUUUUCUUUUACAAAAUUCAAAUUUCUUACAUGUAUGCUAGCCUGCAAAUGUAUGUUAGUAAUACAGGAGGGUUGGUGGCAAAGUAAUUGCUAUAUCCUGCUUAUUUGUAAAAUCUGAAAAGAUCAAUGUAGUUCAAGUUCUUUUUAGCAUGCUGACCAUAUGGAGACGAAUUGGAAAAGAUCUGAAGGGAAGCAGUCAGAAUAUAAUCAAGGUACUACCCAGCAAUUGUGAUGGGGGGGGGGGAACCUUGGCCACAAUAGCCAGUAUCCCAGCCAACAUUUGAACUCAGCACUUUCUGGAUAUGUCUCGGGCAUUACUGCUACACCAACCCCACGUGGUCAUAAGUUCCUUAAAGUUCAUUCUUAUACACCUACUAUUAUUUCUAACAAUCAAAGAGUGUUCUUAUUACAGUUGUGGAUUGGACAGAUUUAAGUAGAUAUGCAUCUGCAAUUACAACAUGUGAGCCAAUGAAAAUUCACAUUAUAUACUCAUCUUCAAGAACACAUCCCUUCAGUAAUGUUAGGGCAUGCUGUACUUGUUAGAAAAUUACAUUCUAAUGUUAAACAAAAAAGUGUGUAAGAGUUUAAUGUUAAUUUCCUGAUGUCAAACAGAAGAACAUAAAUGAACCAAUAAGCAACCUCUACACUGUAGACUCUUUAUCGCUGGCUCCUUGUCUACUUCAUGAAUGUUACAACAUGUAAUCUGGCAUACAUUCACCAACAUUUUGGAGGUACAUACAGCCUCUUCAAAGAAGAAUAAUAAGCCAAUUAUUACCCUCCAGAAAACAGUAUCCCUAUAUACAGUAAAUUACAUGAGAAGACUACAAAUGUUAAGUAUUGUCUUCAUGUUUGGAGCAGUGUAAUUGCUAGUCUAUGAGAAAGCAAAGAAGCUUUCAACCUGAUCUGACAGAAAUUCAAAUGGAACUCAAGUUGGAAUAAAGUGAGAUGGGCAUCAGAAAGCAUUUUCCAUCACGUUUGAUAAACUGGAGGUACCACGGAUGCUAUAGCCUGCCAUCUUACAUGUCUUCCAGAGUGAGGGAUUUUUCCUAUUUUCAUAAUUCUAACAAAAAAAAA
This is a long non-coding RNA of Cryptotermes secundus, 3869 nucleotides long. RefSeq lists it as uncharacterized. NCBI's taxonomy places the organism in Eukaryota, Metazoa, Arthropoda, Insecta, Blattodea, Kalotermitidae. The transcript is spliced from 2 exons. The record is from RefSeq and is a predicted model, not a curated record.